CCUACGUGAGGCAGCAGUGGGGAAUAUUGCGCAAUGGGCGAAAGCCUGACGCAGCGACGCCGCGUGAGGGAUGAAGGUCUUCGGAUCGUAAACCUCUGUCAGCAGGGAAGAACGGUCACUGUGCUAAUCAGCAGUGAAUUGACGGUACCUGCAAAGGAAGCACCGGCUAACUCCGUGCCAGCAGGCGCGGUAAUACGGAGGGUGCGAGCGUUAAUCGGAAUUACUGGGCGUAAAGCGCUCGUAGGCGGUAUGUCAAGUCAAGGGUGAAAUCCCCGCGCUCAACGUGGGAACUGCCUUUGAAACUGGCAAACUGGAGUGUGUGAGAGGAUAGUGGAAUUCCAGGUGUAGGAGUGAAAUCCGUAGAGAUCUGGAGGAACAUCAGUGGCGAAGGCGACUAUCUGGCACAUAACUGACGCUGAGGAGCGAAAGCGUGGGUAGCAAACAGGAUUAGAUACCCCAGUAGUC
Molecule: ribosomal RNA, 465 nt
Filed under: uncultured bacterium
Lineage: Bacteria
Description: partial 16S ribosomal RNA
Rfam family: Bacterial small subunit ribosomal RNA
Source: RNAcentral